AUUGAACGCUGGCGGCAUGCCUUACACAUGCAAGUCGAACGGCAGCACGGGUGCUUGCACCUGGUGGCGAGUGGCGAACGGGUGAGUAAUACAUCGGAACAUGUCCUGUAGUGGGGGAUAGCCCGGCGAAAGCCGGAUUAAUACCGCAUACGAUCCACGGAUGAAAGCGGGGGACCUUCGGGCCUCGCGCUAUAGGGUUGGCCGAUGGCUGAUUAGCUCGUUGGUGGGGUAAAGGCCUACCAAGGCGACGAUCAGUAGCUGGUCUGAGAGGACGACCAGCCACACUGGGACUGAGACACGGCCCAGACUCCUACGGGAGGCAGCAGUGGGGAAUUUUGGACAAUGGGCGAAAGCCUGAUCCAGCAAUGCCGCGUGUGUGAAGAAGGCCUUCGGGUUGUAAAGCACUUUUGUCCGGAAAGAAAUCCUUGGCUCUAAUACAGUCGGGGGAUGACGGUACCGGAAGAAUAAGCACCGGCUAACUACGUG
This 486-nucleotide ribosomal RNA is filed under the name uncultured bacterium. RNAcentral describes it as "partial 16S ribosomal RNA". It matches the Rfam family "Bacterial small subunit ribosomal RNA", at positions 30 to 507 of the family's 1533-position model. The record is from RNAcentral.